Molecule: unclassified non-coding RNA, 315 nt
Filed under: uncultured Sordariomycetes
Lineage: Eukaryota; Fungi; Ascomycota; Sordariomycetes
Description: sequence contains ITS1
Rfam family: 5.8S ribosomal RNA (bases 1-105)
Source: RNAcentral
GAAAUGCGAUAAGUAAUGUGAAUUGCAGAAUUCAGUGAAUCAUCGAAUCUUUGAACGCACAUUGCGCCCAUUAGUAUUCUAAUGGGCAUGCCUGUUCGAGCGUCAUUUCAACCCUCAAGCCCUAGUUGCUUGGUGUUGGGAGCUUAUCCUACCGAAGGGCAGGACAACUCCUUAAAAUUAUUGGCGGAGUCGCGGUGACCCCAAGCGCAGUAAUCUUUUUUCUCGCUUUAGGUGUUAACGCUGGCUUCUAGCCAUUAAACCCCCUAUUUUCCAAUGGUUGACCUCGGAUCAGGUAGGACUACCCGCUGAACUUAA